This 694-nucleotide ribosomal RNA is filed under the name Goodyera rosulacea. RNAcentral's name for it is "eukaryotic LSU rRNA". The stretch from base 245 to 400 matches the Rfam family "5.8S ribosomal RNA". The record is from RNAcentral. Lineage: Eukaryota; Viridiplantae; Streptophyta; Magnoliopsida; Asparagales; Orchidaceae.
UCGAGACCCUAAAAGGAUUGGAUGACCUUUGACAACAUGUGAUCAAUUGACGGCGAUUGCUGUCUAUAUACACCGUCCAUCUAUUGUCCCUUCUUGAUUGGAGCUACAAUGAAAAGAUGGAAGGAAAAAUAAACUCGGCGCAGUUAUGUGCCAAGGAAUUAUGUUGCAUUAGAGCAUCAAUGGCUACUCGCAAUUAGCCCGGUGGGGUUAGCAGAGUGCUUUUGUUGCUUCUUAAGUAUUGUAUGACUCUCGGCAAUGGAUAUCUUGGCUCUUGCAUCGAUGAAGAGCGCAGCGAAAUGCGAUACGUGGUGUGAAUUGCAGAAUCCCGUGAACCAUCGAGUUUUUGAACGCAAGUUGCGCCCGAGGCCAAUUGGCUAAGGGCACGUCCGCCUGGGCGUCAAGCAUUAUGUCGCUUCAUUCGGCACCAAUUGCACAAUAUUUUGUGUUGCGGUGCCGGUUCGAAUGCGGAGAGUGGCCCUUCGCGCACCCAUGUGCGACGGGUUGAAGAACGGUUAGCUUUCCUCUGGACAUGUUUUGAUAAAGGGGUGGAUGUAUGCUGCCAUUUGGCCCACGUUAUCAUCUCAUUGUCUCGAGGAGGAUAUGUGUACACAUUCGUGGCUGAUCACCCGAUAAUAUCGAAGGUGGUGCCUUGAAAUGCGACCCCAGGAUGGGCGGGAUGACCCGCUGAGUUUAA